This 1624-nucleotide long non-coding RNA is filed under the name Oryctolagus cuniculus (rabbit). RNAcentral describes it as "lncRNA (ENSOCUG00000038682.1)". The record is from RNAcentral. Lineage: Eukaryota; Metazoa; Chordata; Mammalia; Lagomorpha; Leporidae.
AUGAGACCUGCACACGUGCACGCGCGCACACAGGCUCACGCACACCGUACCCACGCCACACACGGGCAUCCCUGGAGACGUCUGCAGGCACGUGCACUCACACGCAGGUGCACACGCAGGGACCAUCCUGUCACUUGCACACAGCCCAGCCCACCGCCCCCCACCCCCCGCCAGGCCUUCGCGGAGGGAGGGGCACGGAACCCCGGCGGCCAUCUCCGUGCGCGAGGAGCCCCCGAGCCGGCAGAGGGCGCCCGAGGCUCCUUCCCGCCGGGCCCGGCUCGGCGCGGAGGGAGAGCGCGUGGUCGCCACCUGCCCUUCCAAGCCAGGUCCCCUUUGUUCCCCCUGCGGACAGUCGGUCACCGAGCCCCGCAGGCCUCGUGCGCUGUGGAAGACAUUGUUCCUUUGUCCAGAGCCCUGCAGACACGGAAGACCAGCCCACUCAGGUACAGAUGGCCUCUGGACGAGGGAGUCCCCAGAGCACGGCCACCUCCCCGCUACAUGAGCCAGACACUUUGCACAUUUCUGCACAUUAACUCAUUCGUGCCCACAGGGACCCCGCGAGGUGGGUACUGUCAUGCCUGCCCAGUGUUACAGGUAAGCCGGUUGCACACAGCUCACCUGUGACCCGGUCGGACGUCGAACCCAGGCAGUUGUAACCAGCAUGGACAGUUUGGCCUGGUUUUCCAAGAAUCAAGCAGAUUUGCGAGCUAAGCAAUUAGGAACACACUGGAGCAGCGGAGGAACGGGCCUAGGUUGGACAUUUCAGUGCCCACAGGGCAGGCAGUUGAGACAAACGUGACCGGGGCUGGGCAGGGACAGGUCUGUGGGCCUGGUGGACGGAAUGCAGGUAACCCAGAGGUGUCCCCGUGACGAUUCCCUGAAAGCAAAACUGGCCUGCAGGCCAUCGGGGCCUCUCACCCAAGUCCAGUGCUCAGACCUGGGCCGGAAAUGCAGCCCAGCAGGGCACCGCGGUUCAGAGGGGCAAGGCCCCCAAGCACCUGACCUGUGACACAUGCACCCUGGGGAGCAGCGGCUGGACCUUUCCCAGGGUGGGGCUGGAUGAAGAGCCCCUGCAGCAACAGAAGAGGGGCCCAAGGACCCCACCAGGCAGGGGCGGCCAGAGCCACACCCCCCGGAGAGGAGGCGCCAGGGAGUCCACUUUCGCCAACCGCAGCUCCAGGACCUUACUAUACCCCCUGCGUCUACUUUUUCAAUUUGUGACAAGCAAGUGGACACCGUGUUAAGAGGCUGGAACCGGCAGAAGUGGGUUUCAGCUGGUUUUGACUCAAGAAACAUCAGUGGGGUCCACUCAAGCCCGUCGUGCCCCCCCCCUCCCCGCCGUGUAAGCAUACAAGGCUCCCUGCGGUGCCUGCGUAACUGGGUGGCCUUGGGCCUUGCGCACCCAUUUUGUAAGCACAGCGGGGUGCUCCGGCGAGGUCAGGCAAAGCAGCUUUCCGAGGGAAAUUCACAUUCACCCAGCCCCCACAGCGGCCGCGGCGACGCCCCCCUCCCCGUCCCGUCGGGGAGGAAGCCUCCAGGGCCGAGAUGUGGCGCGGGCCCAGCCCUCGCCGCCUCCCGGUUCCGCGGCCGGAACAAUGCCCCGGCGAGGAACCGGAGCUUCGUG